CUGGGGUGUGUGGUGGGUGUGUGGUUGGGUGUGGCAUCUGGGGGUGUGUGGUGUCUUGGGUGUGUGGUUGGGUGUUUGGUGUUUGGGGGCAUGUAUGUGGUGUCUGGAGGUGUGUGUAGUGUCUGAAGAUGUGUGGUCUGGCGGGGCUAUGUGGUGUCUGAAGGUGUGUGGUAUCUGGGGGUGUGUGUGGUGUCUGGGGGGGUUGUGGUGUCUUGGGGUGUGUGUGUGAGAGAUUGGGGGUGUUCGGGCAGUGUAAGAGCAGAUGUGUGAGGUGCCCAGGCACCAGCCUCCCCAGUUAUGGUGUGUUCUACCCUCACCAGGAUCUUCCUGGGGAGGAAAUGGGAGGGGAACGGGGCUGAGAAGGUGGCCAGGUCCUGGGCGCCUCUGAAGCUACAUAAGUAGAGGCCCUUGGGCAGGUUCAGCCAAGAGCUCCAGCCACCCUGUGAG
RNAcentral lists this long non-coding RNA (447 nucleotides) under Pan troglodytes (chimpanzee). RNAcentral describes it as "long non-coding RNA NONPTRT009532". The record is from RNAcentral. Lineage: Eukaryota; Metazoa; Chordata; Mammalia; Primates; Hominidae.